Molecule: ribosomal RNA, 1432 nt
Filed under: Pediococcus pentosaceus
Lineage: Bacteria; Bacillati; Bacillota; Bacilli; Lactobacillales; Lactobacillaceae
Description: bacterial SSU rRNA
Rfam family: Bacterial small subunit ribosomal RNA
Source: RNAcentral
CUUCCGUUAAUUGAUUAUGACGUACUUGUACUGAUUGAGAUUUUAACACGAAGUGAGUGGCGAACGGGUGAGUAACACGUGGGUAACCUGCCCAGAAGUAGGGGAUAACACCUGGAAACAGAUGCUAAUACCGUAUAACAGAGAAAACCGCAUGGUUUUCUUUUAAAAGAUGGCUCUGCUAUCACUUCUGGAUGGACCCGCGGCGUAUUAGCUAGUUGGUGAGGUAAAGGCUCACCAAGGCAGUGAUACGUAGCCGACCUGAGAGGGUAAUCGGCCACAUUGGGACUGAGACACGGCCCAGACUCCUACGGGAGGCAGCAGUAGGGAAUCUUCCACAAUGGACGCAAGUCUGAUGGAGCAACGCCGCGUGAGUGAAGAAGGGUUUCGGCUCGUAAAGCUCUGUUGUUAAAGAAGAACGUGGGUAAGAGUAACUGUUUACCCAGUGACGGUAUUUAACCAGAAAGCCACGGCUAACUACGUGCCCAGCAGCCCGCGGUAAUACGUAGGUGGGCAAGCGUUAUCCGGAUUUAUUGGGCGUAAAGCGAGCGCAGGCGGUCUUUUAAGUCUAAUGUGAAAGCCUUCGGCUCAACCGAAGAAGUGCAUUGGAAACUGGGAGACUUGAGUGCAGAAGAGGACAGUGGAACUCCAUGUGUAGCGGUGAAAUGCGUAGAUAUAUGGAAGAACACCAGUGGCGAAGGCGGCUGUCUGGUCUGCAACUGACGCUGAGGCUCGAAAGCAUGGGUAGCGAACAGGAUUAGAUACCCUGGUAGUCCAUGCCGUAAACGAUGAUUACUAAGUGUUGGAGGGUUUCCGCCCUUCAGUGCUGCAGCUAACGCAUUAAGUAAUCCGCCUGGGGAGUACGACCGCAAGGUUGAAACUCAAAAGAAUUGACGGGGGGCCCGCACAAGCGGUGGAGCAUGUGGUUUUAAUUCGAAGCUACGCGAAGAACCUUACCAGGUCUUGACAUCUUCUGACAGUCUAAGAGAUUAGAGGUUCCCUUCGGGGACAGAAUGACAGGUGGUGCAUGGUUGUCGUCAGCUCGUGUCGUGAGAUGUUGGGUUAAGUCCCGCAACGAGCGCAACCCUUAUUACUAGUUGCCAGCAUUAAGUUGGGCACUCUAGUGAGACUGCCGGUGACAAACCGGAGGAAGGUGGGGACGACGUCAAAUCAUCAUGCCCCUUAUGACCUGGGCUACACACGUGCUACAAUGGAUGGUACAACGAGUCGCGAGACCGCGAGGUUAAGCUAAUCUCUUAAAACCAUUCUCAGUUCGGACUGUAGGCUGCAACUCGCCUACACGAAGUCGGAAUCGCUAGUAAUCGCGGAUCAGCAUGCCGCGGUGAAUACGUUCCCGGGCCUUGUACACACCGCCCGUCACACCAUGAGAGUUUGUAACACCCAAAGCCGGUGGGGUAACCUUUUAGGAGCUAGC